This 331-nucleotide unclassified non-coding RNA is filed under the name soil metagenome. Its description in RNAcentral is "partial contains 5.8S ribosomal RNA, internal transcribed spacer 2, and large subunit ribosomal RNA". The stretch from base 1 to 120 matches the Rfam family "5.8S ribosomal RNA", at positions 35 to 154 of the family's 154-position model. The record is from RNAcentral.
GAUGAAGAACGUAGCGAAAUGCGAUAAGUAAUGUGAAUUGCAGAAUUCAGUGAAUCAUCGAACCUUUGAACGCACAUUGCGCCCCCUGGUAUUCCGGGGGGCAUGCCUGUUCGAGCGUCAUUUCACCACUCAAGCCUCGCUUGGUAUUGGGCAACGCGGUCCGCCGCGUGCCUCAAAUCGACCGGCUGGGUCUUCUGUCCCCUAAGCGUUGUGGAAACUAUUCGCUAAAGGGUGUUCGGGAGGCUACGCCGUAAAACAACCCCAUUUCUAAGGUUGACCUCGGAUCAGGUAGGGAUACCCGCUGAACUUAAGCAUAUCAAUAAGCGGAGGA